GUAAGUAAUUUCUUUGUAAUUUCAGGGAAUACUACUACUGCCUUCCCCUCCCCAGAGGGAAUCCUGCAAACUUCAGAGAGAAACAAGAAAAGACCUCUGACCGAUCAUCAGUGCUGGAGAUGGAGAAACGGGAGAGACGAGCCUUGGAGCGCAAAAUGUCAGAAAUGGAGGAAGAAAUGAAGGUGUUAACAGAACUGAAAUCCGACAACCAGAGGCUGAAAGAUGAAAAUGGUGCCCUCAUCAGAGUCAUCAGCAAACUGUCCAAGUAGGCUAGGCUCCAGAUUUAUGAGGAAAGAAAGGGACAGCAUUUGCUGCCCCCACCCCUCUUUUCCAGUCCUUGCCUUCCAACCAAAAGAAAUGGAUGUUUUGGUGGAAGGACACUUCUUUCUAUCACCCUCUUCAGUCACCUCUAUACACUCUACAUUUUCUCUGCACUUUCAAUGCCCUGUUCUUCCAAACCCCUAUCCCAAGUUUUAUGACAGUUUUAAUUGAAGCAUGAUUGUGGUAAUUCGAGCCAUCUGGAGAAUGCUCUGGGGAGUACACCAGGCUCA
Molecule: small RNA, 551 nt
Filed under: Pan troglodytes (chimpanzee)
Lineage: Eukaryota; Metazoa; Chordata; Mammalia; Primates; Hominidae
Description: processed transcript
Source: RNAcentral